Molecule: non-coding RNA, 788 nt
Organism: Macaca mulatta (Rhesus monkey)
Lineage: Eukaryota; Metazoa; Chordata; Mammalia; Primates; Cercopithecidae
Source: RefSeq, a predicted model, not a curated record
GGGGGUGGGGGUGGGGGGUGGGGUAUGUUGAGCCAACCUGCCAGCAUUGAGAACACCACUGUAUUUAACUGAUAGAUUAUAUAUGUUUAGGGUUGAGGGUGAUGAAUUCAGGCUAGGGAAGACCCUGAAUCCAGGGAAAAAAGAAAAGAGAGUAGCCUCAGGUAAGGUGCAAGGUCAAGGUAAGGGGCUGGAUUCUUACAAACAAAAAGGAUUACGUGGAUCAAAAGGGAAGUCUCUUGGAGGGUGGCACCUUACCACAGAUCUAAAAUAAAAGUGGUGAUUAAGGAAAAGGGACAAUAGUCAAUACUCAGAAGAACAGGUGGAGGCCAAAGGUAAGGACAGAGUACCUGAGAGUCCUAUCAGGUGGCACGGAGGGGCACGAAGGGUGGGGUGGGAGGCAUUGAAACAACUCUCACAUGGCGUGGGCUUCGACCUAUGUUGUAUUUCAGAGAGAAAGGAAGGAAGGGAAUGGGGCAGUUCCACGUGGAGAGUGCCAGGCCUAUUUGAGAGGGGCAGAGGAGGAAAUGCUGAGAUCUUUGAUUAAGAAGUUAAAGGGAAGCACUAGAAUGCUCCAGGCCUGAAACUGUAGAGACUGAAGUACAGGGAACCAAGGUGGCUGCAGGGAGUCGAGGUGGCCAGGGAGUCACAGUGGCCGUCCACAUCAGUGAUUCUUAUCUGGGGUGGGGGGUGGGUUUCACCCGAGGGAGGGCUGGGGGCAUGGACCCCCAGGCAGGCCUAUCCAAUCAUCUGAGGGGUGAGCAAUGUUCAGCUCAGAAAAAGUAAGGGGG